GCAAGGCAAGGCAAGGCAACUUUAUUUAUAUAGCACUUUUCAUACACAAGGCAGACUCAAAGUGCUUUACCUCUAAACCUAUUGGUUGCUCUCGGCUGACGUACAUUCCAAUCACAUGUGCCGUUCACCGGGCUGUGCGUGAUUGACAGUGCUCUGCCGAUGACACGAAUAACAAGAGACCUUCGCGGUUGACUGUGAUUUCCAUUUUCUGGAACCAUGGCUGGGAGACAGUGUGCCUCUCUGGUAUUGAGCGGGUCUGCAGGAUUGCACUCCGCAAUCAACGCUUUCCAAGCAACUUUCUCCGCUAAGGACAGGAUCUCACGGAGGCUACAUGCAGAGUAAUGUGACCAAUCGAAUCAUCUUCGGCCCGGGCCUGGGAGCAGCAGUACGGAGAGGCAAGGCGAAGAGCUCGCACUAGCGGUCCGGCUCUCGCACUGUGGAACAAAAGUCCCUGGAGCGUGUCACUCUCUCAGCCGUGGAUCUUUGGGACCCCUCUGGGAUUUACCUCCCCUGUCGCUCGUCCACCCAGGAACCAGGAGGCAACAUUUUCCCCUAAUCUUCCCUCGGCCCCCCCUC
Molecule: long non-coding RNA, 576 nt
Organism: Gadus chalcogrammus (walleye pollock)
Lineage: Eukaryota; Metazoa; Chordata; Actinopteri; Gadiformes; Gadidae
Exons: 3
Source: RefSeq, a predicted model, not a curated record